Molecule: ribosomal RNA, 248 nt
Filed under: uncultured Planctomycetales bacterium
Lineage: Bacteria; Pseudomonadati; Planctomycetota; Planctomycetia; Planctomycetales
Description: partial 16S ribosomal RNA
Rfam family: Bacterial small subunit ribosomal RNA
Source: RNAcentral
GUCGGGAGUUAGGAAAUGUAAGUGUGCUAAUACCACAUUUAUUUGACGAAGGCUCCAAAGGAAGCCACGGCUAACUCUGUGCCAGCAGCCGCGGUAAUACAGAGGUGGCAAGCGUUGUUCUGAAUUAUUGGGCGUAAAGAGCACGUAGGUGGGUUUGUAAGUCAGAUGUGAAAGCCUUCUGUUCAACGGAAGAAUUGCAUCUGAAACUGCGAAUCUUGAGUGUAGGAGGGGAGAGUGGAACUUCUGGU